CAGCCGCCGCGGUAAUACGAAGGGUGCAAGCGUUAAUCGGAAUUACUGGGCGUAAAGCGUGCGUAGGCGGUGAGUUAAGUCUGCUGUGAAAUUCCUGGGCUCAACCUGGGGGCUGCGCUUGAUACUUGGUUGCUUGAGUGGGGAAGAGGGUCGUGGAAUUCCCAGUGUAGAGGUGAAAUUCGUAGAUAUUGGGAAGAACACCGGUGGCGAAGGCGGCGACCUGGUCCUUGACUGACGCUGAGGCACGAAAGCGUGGGGAGCAAACAGGAUUAGAUACCCCCGUAGUCCCUGUCUCUUAUAC
RNAcentral lists this ribosomal RNA (301 nucleotides) under uncultured bacterium. RNAcentral's name for it is "partial 16S ribosomal RNA". It matches the Rfam family "Bacterial small subunit ribosomal RNA", at positions 509 to 807 of the family's 1533-position model. The record is from RNAcentral.